This 859-nucleotide long non-coding RNA is filed under the name Fukomys damarensis (Damara mole-rat). Its description in RNAcentral is "lncRNA (ENSFDAG00000033484.1)". Lineage: Eukaryota; Metazoa; Chordata; Mammalia; Rodentia; Bathyergidae. The record is from RNAcentral.
GAGAUGGCCUGGGGCAGAAAGCCACCAGCCUCUCUGCCUGGCCUUGCUGCCAGGGGUCAGGCUGCAGGGGUUGGCCCGGGAGCCCUCAUCAAUCUAACCUGGGGAAGGCAACCAACAGAAGAAUGUGUGUGUGUGAGUGCGUGUGUGCCUGUGCGUGCUUGCGUGUAACUGCUCCAGAGCACUCUGGAGGGUAGGAGCAUGACCAGUGGCUGGUGGGAUUCCAGGGAGCUUCAUGGCUCUGCCACAGCUCCCAGAUCAAGUUCUGGUGCCGUGUAUGGAGCCCAGAGCCAUGCACAGCGUACAGUCCGCCCUUGAGCUCAGCUCCCAGCCUCCAGUCACAUCAUCGUGAACAGCACCCAUGGAACGCUCUCGUCCUGCAGAGCUGGAAAUCUGUGCCGUGCAACAAUGACUUUCCCGCCUGUCUUUCUCCCAAGUCCUGGCGACCAGCACUGCCCUUCACCAUCAUGACAGUGACCAGCAGGGUCACGAGUGAGCGCCUCACAGGAAUGGGGUCCAGCGCCACUCCUCCUUCCAUGCCUGGCUUAUUUUACUUAGCCUAGGCCUGGUUACCCAUGAUACAGCCUGUGUCAGAAUCCCCUUCCCUUUUCAAGGCUCUGUGUUUGGUUCAUCAUUGGUUGGUUAUCUUACUAAGAAAACGGAAUAUUUACCUCCCAGCUGUAAAGAUCUCCUCUCUGAUAGGUAUUGUUUUUUGUGUUUGUCUUUGGAAAGUAUUAAAGAAUGAUUUUUGAAAGUCUCUUUUUCUCCUGCCAAAGUCCUGGGUCACAGUGGGAAGAAAUGUGAGUGAAUUCUCUGUCUUCAGAGAUUCAAAAAUCACAGAAAUGGUGUACUUGGUUUACAU